AGUUGGGAAAUGUUUGUGGCAUUCAAGAAAUACCCAUAUUGUUGUGUUCAUCAUCCCUCAAUCUUGUGAGCAAUGCGUGAAGAUUUCAUGAAUUGUCAAGGGAUGACAGGAGGGCUUUUUUUCUCUAUGGUACAAAAUGGCAAAAAGAUACAAACCGCUAACACCCAAGCCCCAUGUGAAAAUCUGAUCCCACACGAGACAAGAACAUGGUACUCCUACUUCACCCUUUUGUGAAACGUGACUAUAUAUUAUAAUAAUAAUAAUAAUAAUAAAGAUUCAAACUUUGGACAGAAACAUUCACGGAUCUCACUUUCACUCGGAUUAUGGGAAAAUCGAUACAAAGAGGCAUGUCCAUGUCCACCAGACAAUGUAAUGAUACUCUUGACGCUCUGAUGAGUUUUGUAACGUUACAAAGGUAAAA
Molecule: long non-coding RNA, 421 nt
Organism: Tarenaya hassleriana
Lineage: Eukaryota; Viridiplantae; Streptophyta; Magnoliopsida; Brassicales; Cleomaceae
Exons: 2
Source: RefSeq, a predicted model, not a curated record